This 495-nucleotide ribosomal RNA is filed under the name uncultured bacterium. RNAcentral's name for it is "partial 16S ribosomal RNA". It matches the Rfam family "Bacterial small subunit ribosomal RNA", at positions 28 to 507 of the family's 1533-position model. The record is from RNAcentral.
GACGAACGCUGGCGGCGUGCCUAAUACAUGCAAGUAGAACGCUGAAGGAGGAGCUUGCUUCUCUGGAUGAGUUGCGAACGGGUGAGUAACGCGUAGGUAACCUGCCUGGUAGUGGGGGAUAACUAUUGGAAACGAUAGCUAAUACCGCAUAAUAGCAGUUGUUGCAUGAUAACUGUUUGAAAGGUGCAAUUGCACCGCUACCAGAUGGACCUGCGUUGUAUUAGCUAGUUGGUGGGGUAACGGCUCACCAAGGCGACGAUACAUAGCCGACCUGAGAGGGUGAUCGGCCACACUGGGACUGAGACACGGCCCAGACUCCUACGGGAGGCAGCAGUAGGGAAUCUUCGGCAAUAGACGGAAGUCUGACCGAGCAACGCCGCGUGAGUGAAGAAGGUUGUCGGAUCGUAAAGCUCGGUUGUAAGAGAAGAACGAGUGUGAGAGUGGAAAGUUCACACUGUGACGGUAUCUUACCAGAAAGGGACGGCUAACUACGUG